Molecule: ribosomal RNA, 265 nt
Filed under: uncultured bacterium
Lineage: Bacteria
Description: partial 16S ribosomal RNA
Rfam family: Bacterial small subunit ribosomal RNA
Source: RNAcentral
GCAAGUCGAACGUGAAGGCCGAGAUGAAGACUUUGGUUUGAUUUUUGGUUGGAAAGUGGCGAACGGGUGAGUAACACGUGGGUAAUCUGCCUCGAAGUGGGGGAUAACUAUUGGAAACGAUAGCUAAUACCGCAUAGUCUUUUCUUUAUGGGAAUAGAGAUUAGUAAAGCUCCGGCGCUUCGAGAGGAGCCUGCGACCAAUUAGCUAGUUGGUGGGGUAAAGGCCUACCAAGGCGACGAUUGGUAGCUGGUCUGAGAGGACGAUC